Molecule: ribosomal RNA, 407 nt
Filed under: uncultured bacterium
Lineage: Bacteria
Description: partial 16S ribosomal RNA
Rfam family: Bacterial small subunit ribosomal RNA
Source: RNAcentral
AUUGAACGCUGGCGGCGGGCCUAACACAUGCAAGUCGAGCGGAGCUGCGGACGGGUGGGUAAUUCCUAGGUAUCUGCCUGGUAGUUGGGGCUAACGUCCGUUAACGGGCGCUAAUCCAACAUACUCUCAGCUGAGCCUAGUUCGGAUUAGCUAGUUGGUGGGGUAAAGGCUUACCAAGGCGACGAUCCGUAACUGGUCUGAGAGGAUGAUCAGUCACACUGGAACUGAGACACGGUCCAGACUCCUACGGGAGGCAGCAGUGGGGAAUCUUCGACAAUGGGCGAAAGCCUGAUCCAGCCAUGCCGCGUGUGUGAAGAAGGUCUUCGGAUCGUAAAGCACUUUAAGUUGGGAGGCGUUACCAACAGAAUAAGCACCGGCUAACUUCGUGCCAGCCGCCGCGGUAAUAC